CAGCCGUAAACUAUGCGCGUUAGGUGUAUCGGUGACCACGAGUUACCGAGGUGCCGAAGGGAAACCGUGAAACGUGCCGCCUGGGAAGUACGGUCGCAAGGCUGAAACUUAAAGGAAUUGGCGGGGGAGCACCACAACAGGUGGAGCCUGCGGGUUUAAUUUGGACUCAACGCCGGGAAGCUCACCGGAUAAGACAGCGGAAUGAUUGCCGGGCUGAAGACUCUGCAUGACUAGCUGAGAGGAGGUGCAUGGCGUAGACGUCU
RNAcentral lists this ribosomal RNA (263 nucleotides) under uncultured archaeon. Its description in RNAcentral is "partial 16S ribosomal RNA". It matches the Rfam family "Archaeal small subunit ribosomal RNA", at positions 748 to 1009 of the family's 1478-position model. The record is from RNAcentral.